RNAcentral lists this ribosomal RNA (260 nucleotides) under uncultured Rhogostoma. RNAcentral describes it as "partial 18S ribosomal RNA". The stretch from base 84 to 260 matches the Rfam family "Eukaryotic small subunit ribosomal RNA", at positions 779 to 955 of the family's 1831-position model. The record is from RNAcentral. Lineage: Eukaryota; Cercozoa; Thecofilosea; Cryomonadida.
GACUUCUGGUUUCACAAGGCCUGUGAGUGCCGGCGCGCGUUUACCAUCCUUCCAGCAACGGCUACCCUUAACUGGGCGGCUGGAACUGGAUCUUUUACUUUGAAAAAAUUGCAUGGAAAAAAAAAUCUGGGACUUCGGUUCUAUUUUGUUGGUUUCUAUAACUGAAGUAAUGAUUGCUAGGGCUUGUUGCGGGUGCUAGUAUUGGCCGGUCAGAGGUGAAAUUCUUGGAUUCGGUCAAGACUAACUUAUGCGAAAGCAUU